UAUAAAUGGUAGCGAAGGCGAGAAAAAAUACCAAAUCUGUGUUAGCAACACUGCGCCCUUCAUGAUACACAUGCGAGCGUGGUUGUUGAGGGGCAAACUACGAACGUAAACAAAAAUAAUUUGAUCGGAGGCGCGAAUAAUGUGUGUAUUAAUCCAAUAUGCAUAUUUUUAAUAUAGCAAUUCGCCCGGUCUGCCAGUAAUACGUAAGAUUAUAGACAGAGCCGAGUACGCUUCCGGUUCCUGUCCCUCAGCAUGUUGUUAGCUACGAGCUUGCCGUACGUUGACUGCGCGCUUUGUGACUGUUGAUAGCCGUUUUCUUCUUCAUCGUCGUCUUUUCAAUUUCAAACCACCAAGUCAAACAGGGGACACUUCUCGGAGAACUAAGGCUCUACCGGGAGACGCACCAUGUCGAGGCGCUACAUAAGCGGUGCCUCCUGAAGGAGAAAGGAAACUGUGACGCCGAUGACACUAUGGGCGGUAUAAGUUUCCACCGUUUUCCUCGGGACCCCUUGAGCUUUCAGUCUGUAUGGACACUCCCUGGAUAGGUCAUCCUUCCACAGUGAGGUGGUAAACAUGUAAAUAUUUAAGCAUGUGGCUGCUGGGCUGCUUUCAACGAGGAGUUUUGCAACGGUUUGCAUGUACGGGACACAAAGGGCUGUGCUGCAUGUGCUUACAUGUACCCAAUGCUAGCAUGUUGAUGGCUUGCUUUGCAUGCUGAUUUUUUCUUUUUUUUUUAACUCUGAAUGUAGGGCAUACAGGGUCAGGCUGCUGUAGCUAGUGCAUGUUUUCGUGGCACAGCUUUGCAUAAUUCUUCAACAAUAAAACUGCUUCGCAGGUACAAGGCGUGGCUGGAGUUUUGCAACCUGGAGGCGGAUACGAGUCUAAUUUCCAUUCGCUCUAAGGUCCUGUGCUCCCAGCACUUCGCACCAGUUGCUUAUUUGCGCACAGGAAGGCUUCGGUGGGAUGCAGUUCCUACAUUGAAGCGCACACUGCAUGGCGUUGGAGGAAGUAGUGCCUACGCCAAUCAGAGCAGACUUGAAAGCAGUGGGCCUUCAACGGAGGAACGUGUGCAAGCUGUGGUAGCC
Ornithodoros turicata is the source of this 1085-nucleotide long non-coding RNA. RefSeq lists it as uncharacterized. Lineage: Eukaryota; Metazoa; Arthropoda; Arachnida; Ixodida; Argasidae. The transcript has 4 exons. The record is from RefSeq and is a predicted model, not a curated record.